GUAGUUUUCAAAAUCCAUUUUUAACAAUUCACCGACUCUGGGCAAAGAAUCCCCACUAAAGCAUCACAGAUUGGGACUGGAGAGGAACUCAGAGGUGGUUUAGCCCGAGCCCUUCGAUUUAUCGACAAGGAAACUGAGGCAAGAGAGGUGAUCGACUCUGCCCAGCAUCACGGGGGCAGGGAUAAAGGUGGGGCUUGGGCCCUUGUCCCAUCAUCCAAAGCGAGCACUUCCCCAGCUUCUGGUAUCCACCAUCAAGCUGUGAGCUCCUGGGUUCAGGACUCCUUUUCUUCCCUUAUACCCCCAGGCUCACCGCCAUGCCCAGCAGACACUUAAUUGGUGCUCGAUUUGCCUCUUAAGUUCUAAGAUUCCAUCUAGUCCUGAUGUUCCAUGAGUCCACAAAUACACACGCUGGGGAUGGUGGGAUUUCCGGGCCCAGAAAGGGUUUGGGGAACCGAAUGGGCCCCUCAGAAGGGCCGGGCGCUUCCUCUGUGGCCCUUCCCCCCACUUUAGUUGGCUAUGGCCUCCCCACUGCCGUGCAAACAAGGUUGGCUCCCUUCAUUGCCUGGGACUUAUUCCAGAAAAAAGAAGGCUGCCAUUGUUGGCCUUUCCCCCCUCUCCACUCCAUUGCCUUCUUGAUGGCUCUCAGAAACCUUUUUGGCUGUGGGUGACCCCCGGGCCAUGUCCUGGGGGUGGGAGUGGAGAGGACAGAGUCACAUUGUCUACCCAAGGUGCUCAUCUUGGCAUUCAAGGCUUCCCACAGUCUUCUGUCUAGAACUGUGUCCUUCAUCGCCAGGUCUUCCUCCCCACAAGGGAGAGCUUAGGUGGGGGUGUGGGGCUGGGGGUGUGGAGAAGGGCGGCCUGUUUCGCAUAGCCAAAUCUGUCUCAUUCUUCAAGACCCAGCUCAAGGACCAUCUUUUCCAGGAAGUCCUCCCAGACUGCUCUGGGCCACGCCAACCUAGUCUCCUGAAGUGUUUCAUUAGCUUUCGGUAGCCAUAGAUUCUUAGCCCGAGAAGGGGCCUUAGAUGUAACCCAGGGGAGGAAACCCAGAGCCAAACUGCCCUGUUGAGGGUCUGGCUGGCCUGGGGUCAGAGGCAGCAAUAAAGACCUUCCUGACCAAACCCACUCACUUCUGUCUACCCCUAGUUCUCCAUCUCUAGGCAGUGAGAGGGUGCUGUGGAUGGAAUCAAACAGACUCGUCUUUAUGAGUUCAAGACCUCAGACCCUCACUGACUGUGUGACUCUGAGCAAGCCUUUUUUUUUUUUUUUGGGUUGAAGCAAUUGGGGUUAAGUGACUUGCCCAGGGUCACACAGCCAGGAAGUGUUGGAUUUGAACUCAGAUCCUCCUGACUUCAGGGCUGGUGCUCUACCCACUGCACCACCCAGCCACCCCGGCAAGCCUCAUUUUGACUCAGUUUCCUCCCCUGUCAGAGCUACAGAAGGAAAUGGCAAAGCCAUCCGGUAUCUUUGCUAAGAAAACCGCUGCCCAAGGGGUCAUGAAGAUGUGGACCUGACUGAAUCACAAAAACUGCCCUAUGUGAAGGUGAAAUUGCCCCCUUGGCAGCUCCCUUCCCCAGUGCCGGUGGCUAGCUCUGUUCUCAGGGCUGAUCCUGCUUGCACUCUUCAGCCCCUGGGAUACUUUUAGGCGGGAAUCAGCACGGAGAAGUGGCCCGGCGCAGGGGAGAGAGCCAGAGCCGGCCUUCGGCCAGGAAGGCUUCCGACACUCUCUGCUCUGAGACCCUGGCUAGGCCACUUAACUCCUUAGGACUCCAAUCCGUGCGGCAGGGAGCUUCCUCCCCGGGGACUGCCCAGACUCAGGAUCCGCGCUCUCCUCCCCACGACAACCAUUCCCCAGUCCCUCAGGGUCAACUCGCGAGACUUGGGUUGAGUCCCUUCCCCGUCCUGGCUGCCCUCCGGUUUUUGGGGCGCAGGGCCCAGGCCCGAGCACAGCACGGCCGACUGGGGUUUGGCCGGGGAAAAGCCCCAGGACCGUCACCCACAAAGUCCUGGUCACCGCGCUCCCUUCCAAGCCUGGACUGGCUGUCGCCUCUCACACCGUUGCCUCAUGUUAAUCUUGUGGUCUACUCAAACCCCCAGAUCUUUUUCAGUCAAAGAAAACUGUGGACUAGCAACACUUGUGUCUCGCUUUUGGUACUUUUGAGACUCCAGUCUGAGACUUGCCAUGCGCGCUCAUUCAGUUACACUGAGGAAACCUUCCUGGCAAGGAUACCAGAGUCCGCCGUUUCCUCCUCUGGCUCGUUUUACAGGGAAAGAAACUGAGGCAGGCGGGGUUAAGUGACUUGCUCGAGAUCACCAGCCAGCACGAGUCUGCUCAGAUGAGUGCUCCCCAUCCCAGGCCGGAGGCUCCGGGACCAACGGGGCCACCUAGCGGCCGGGACUAAAUCUUGGCGGAUCUGGCCCGGCCAAAUCCCGAGAGAGCCCGACUCUACAAUCCACUUCCAUCCCUUGUAGCUUUGUAACGUUUUCACAUUCGAUAAAGACGCCUUUAUACAAGUUAAGGAUUAAACUGUUAAAUCCAGAGGAGUCAUGGCGGAGAGGGCAGAGAACCGACUUCAGCCUUAAGAAGCCUCAGCUCCGGCUCUCCCUGGGACAUAUCGGCUCUCCCUCUCUCUCCUCUCUCCCUCUCCCUCCCUCUCUCUUUCCCAACCCCCUCCAUUUUCUCUUUCUCUCUGUCUCCUCCUCCUCCUUCUCCUUCUUUUUCUCCUCUUCUCCUUUUCCUCCUCCUUCUUUUUCUGCUGCUUCUUCUUGUCUUCCUCUUCCUCCUCCUUCUUCUUCUUCUUCUUCUUCUUCUUCUUUUCCUCUUCCUCCUCCUCUUCUCCUUUUCCUCCUUCUUUUUCUG
Molecule: long non-coding RNA, 2857 nt
Filed under: Sarcophilus harrisii (Tasmanian devil)
Lineage: Eukaryota; Metazoa; Chordata; Mammalia; Dasyuromorphia; Dasyuridae
Description: lncRNA (ENSSHAG00000031590.1)
Source: RNAcentral